Molecule: non-coding RNA, 410 nt
Filed under: Stegodyphus mimosarum
Lineage: Eukaryota; Metazoa; Arthropoda; Arachnida; Araneae; Eresidae
Description: Eukaryotic small subunit ribosomal RNA
Rfam family: Eukaryotic small subunit ribosomal RNA
Source: Rfam by way of RNAcentral
CUAAUUGAUCCUGUCAGUAGUCAUAUGCUCAUCUCAAAAAUUAAACCAAGCAUAUUUAAGUACAUGCUGUAUUAAGGCAAAACCAUGAGUAUCUCUUUAAAUCAGUUAUGGUUCCUUGGAUCAUGCCUUAUUACUUGGAUAACUGUGGCAAUUUUAGAGUUAAUACAUGCAGCAGUGCUCUGACCCUCUGGGGAUGAGUGCUUUUAUUAGACCAAAACCAGUCAGACCUCAUGUCUGUAUAACAGGCAUGACUUUAUGUCUGUAUAACAGGCGAUGAGGAAUCAGGGUUUGAUUCCAGAAAAGGACCUGAGAAAGGACUACCACAUCCAAGGAUGGCAGCAGGUGAGAAAUUGUGUAGUUGCACUAAAUAAUAAAUAUCUGCUGCAUCUGUAAUGAAAAAAGCACAUCAU